This is a long non-coding RNA of Homo sapiens (human), 517 nucleotides long. Ensembl annotates it as UBE2Q2 pseudogene 13. Its record names the gene UBE2Q2P13. The record is from Ensembl. Lineage: Eukaryota; Metazoa; Chordata; Mammalia; Primates; Hominidae.
AUGGGUCGGGCAGAAAGGUGCUGGGUCAAGGGGAGGAGGGGGCAGCCGGGAGCGCGCGCACGCUCUGGACUCGUGCAACCGCCAAAACGGUUUGUGUUUAAGGAGAAACUAACAAUGAAAACGGCCUCGUUGACGGAGGAAAAGUUGGAAUGCAGCCUCUGGUGCUGUUUGAGCGAUCCCUCUCCCCGGGGCCUGGCCGCGCGCUGCUGUGUUCUGGAAGGGCUCAUUGUACAGUCAAGGCGGCAGGAAUCCUCUUCAUCUUUCUCACCAAUAUGUUUUGUGGACUCUGACGAGCCAAAUCUGACAUCAGUUCUGGAACAUCUAGAAGAUACUAAGAACAACCAUUCAGUGAAGAGAGAAGCCAAGCUAUUUUCUCUUUUCCUCAUGAACAUUAUAUUUAGAAAUUAAAUGUUAAGAGAUAAUAUGAUAUAAUGUUAAGAGAUAAUAUGAUAUAAAAGCAUGAUUAAUGACUAUAAUCUUAGAGGAAUUAAAGUCUGGGUAUUUUAAGUCCUUCAAA